GACGAACGCUGGCGGCGUGCUUAACACAUGCAAGUCGAACGGAAAGGCCCUGCUUUUGUGGGGUGCUCGAGUGGCGAACGGGUGGGUAACACGUGAGUAACCUGCCCUUGACUAUGGGAUAACUUCAGGAAGCUGGGGCUAAUACCGGAUAGGAGCUCCUGCUGCAUGGUGGGGGUUGGAAAGUUUCGGCGGUUGGGGAUGGACUCGCGGCUUAUCAGCUUGUUGGUGGGGUAGUGGCUUACCAAGGCUUUGACGGGUAGCCGGCCUGAGAGGGUGACCGGCCACAUUGGGACUGAGAUACGGCCCAGACUCCUACGGGAGGCAGCAGUGGGGAAUAUUGCACAAUGGGCGGAAGCCUGAUGCAGCAACGCCGCGUGCGGGAUGACGGCCUUCGGGUUGUAAACCGCUUUCGCCUGUGACGAAGCGUGAGUGACGGUAAUGGGUAAAGAAGCACCGGCUAACUACGUG
This 468-nucleotide ribosomal RNA is filed under the name uncultured bacterium. RNAcentral describes it as "partial 16S ribosomal RNA". It matches the Rfam family "Bacterial small subunit ribosomal RNA", at positions 28 to 507 of the family's 1533-position model. The record is from RNAcentral.